AUAAUGGAGAGUUUGAUCCUGGCUCAGGACGAACGCUGGCGGCGUGCUUAAUACAUGCAAGUCAACUGAACUUUAGGUAGCAAUAUUUAAAGGGAGGUGGCGCACGGGUGAGUAACACGUAGGUAAUCUGCCUUCAGGACUGACAUAAUUCCGCGAAAGCGGGACUAAUAUCAGAUGAUGCAGCGGCUCGACAUCGAGACAGUUGUUAAACCUUCGGGGCCUGAAGAUGAGCCUGCGUCUGAUUAGGUAGUUGGAGGGGUAAUGGCCCACCAAGCCUGCGAUCAGUAGCUGGUCUGAGAGGAUGAUCAGCCACACUGGAACUGAGACACGGUCCAGACUCCUACGGGAGGCAGCAGUAAGGAAUAUUGCUCAAUGGCCGAAAGGCUGAAGCAGCAACGCCGCGUGGAGGAUGAAAUACUUUAGUAUGUAAACUCCUGUAAGAGGGGAAAAAUAUACAAUUAUGUUGUAUUGAUUGUACCCUCAGAGUAAGCACCGGCUAACUACGUGCCAGCAGCCGCGGUAAUACGUAGGGUGCUAGAGUUGUCCGGAUUUACUGGGUGUAAAGGGUGCUCAGGUGGGUUUGUAAGUCAGAGGUGAAAUCCCAAAGCUUAACUUUGGAGCUGCCUUUGAUACUGCGAGCCUGGAGUUUGAGAGAGGGCAAUGGAAUAUCUGGUGUAGCAGUGAAAUGCGUAGAUAUCAGAUAGAACACCAAUGGCGAAGGCAGUUGCCUGGCUCAAAACUGACGCUAAAGCACGAAAGUGUGGGGAG
RNAcentral lists this ribosomal RNA (768 nucleotides) under Ignavibacteriota bacterium. RNAcentral's name for it is "bacterial SSU rRNA". It matches the Rfam family "Bacterial small subunit ribosomal RNA", at positions 1 to 768 of the family's 1533-position model. Lineage: Bacteria; Pseudomonadati; Ignavibacteriota. The record is from RNAcentral.